RNAcentral lists this ribosomal RNA (506 nucleotides) under uncultured bacterium. RNAcentral describes it as "bacterial SSU rRNA". It matches the Rfam family "Bacterial small subunit ribosomal RNA", at positions 107 to 608 of the family's 1533-position model. The record is from RNAcentral.
UGUUUAAUGUCUGGGAAACUGCCUGAUGGAGGGGGAUAACUACUGGAAACGGUGGCUAAUACCGCAUAACGUCGCAAGACCAAAGAGGGGGACCUUCGGGCCUCUUGCCAUCAGAUGUGCCCAGAUGGGAUUAGCUAGUAGGUGGGGUAACGGCUCACCUAGGCGACGAUCCCUAGCUGGUCUGAGAGGAUGACCAGCCACACUGGAACUGAGACACGGUCCAGACUCCUACGGGAGGCAGCAGUGGGGAAUAUUGCACAAUGGGCGCAAGCCUGAUGCAGCCAUGCCGCGUGUAUGAAGAAGGCCUUCGGGUUGUAAAGUACUUUCAGCGGGGAGGAAGGCGAUGCGGUUAAUAACCGCGUCGAUUGACGUUACCCGCAGAAGAAGCACCGGCUAACUCCGUGCCAGCAGCCGCGGUAAUACGGAGGGUGCAAGCGUUAAUCGGAAUUACUGGGCGUAAAGCGCACGCAGGCGGUCUGUUAAAGUCAGAUGUGAAAAUCCCCGGG